AUGGGAAACGGGUUAAUAUUCCCGUACUUCUGACUAUUGCGAUGGGGGGACGGAGAAGGCUAGGUGGGCCAGGCGACGGUUGUCCUGGUUCAAGUGCGUAGGCUUGAGAGUUAGGUAAAUCCGGCUCUCUCUAAGGCUGAGACACGACGUCGAGCUACUACGGUAGUGAAGUCAUUGAUGCCAUGCUUCCAGGAAAAGCCUCUAAGCUUCAGAUAGUCAGGAAUCGUACCCCAAACCGACACAGGUGGUCGGGUAGAGAAUACCAAGGCGCUUGAGAGAACUCGGGUGAAGGAACUAGGCAAAAUGGUACCGUAACUUCGGGAGAAGGUACGCUCUUGAUGGUGAAGUCCCUCGCGGAUGGAGCUGACGAGAGUCGCAGAUACCAGGUGGCUGCAACUGUUUAUUAAAAACACAGCACUGUGCAAAAUCGCAAGAUGACGUAUACGGUGUGACGCCUGCCCGGUGCCGGAAGGUUAAUUGAUGGGGUUAGCGCAAGCGAAGCUCUUGAUCGAAGCCCCGGUAAACGGCGGCCGUAACUAUAACGGUCCUAAGGUAGCGAAAUUCCUUGUCGGGUAAGUUCCGACCUGCACGAAUGGCGUAAUGAUGGCCACGCUGUCUCCACCCGAGACUCAGUGAAAUUGAAAUCGCUGUGAAGAUGCAGUGUACCCGCGGCUAGACGGAAAGACCCCGUGAACCUUUACUACAGCUUGGCACUGAACAUUGAACCUACAUGUGUAGGAUAGGUGGGAGGCUAUGAAGACGUGACGCCAGUUGCGUUGGAGCCGUCCUUGAAAUACCACCCUUGUAUGUUUGAUGUUCUAACUUAGACCCAUUAUCUGGGUUGAGGACAGUGCCUGGUGGGUAGUUUGACUGGGGCGGUCUCCUCCCAAAGAGUAACGGAGGAGCACGAAGGUGGGCUAAUCACGGUUGGACAUCGUGAGGUUAGUGCAAUGGCAUAAGCCCGCUUAACUGCGAGAAUGACGGUUCGAGCAGGUGCGAAAGCAGGUCAUAGUGAUCCGGUGGUUCUGUAUGGAAGGGCCAUCGCUCAACGGAUAAAAGGUACUCCGGGGAUAACAGGCUGAUACCGCCCAAGAGUUCAUAUCGACGGCGGUGUUUGGCACCUCGAUGUCGGCUCAUCACAUCCUGGGGCUGAAGUCGGUCCCAAGGGUAUGGCUGUUCGCCAUUUAAAGUGGUACGCGAGCUGGGUUUAGAACGUCGUGAGACAGUUCGGUCCCUAUCUGCCGUGGGCGUUGGAAGAUUGAAGGGGGCUGCUCCUAGUACGAGAGGACCGGAGUGGACGAACCUCUGGUGUUCGGGUUGUGUCGCCAGACGCAUUGCCCGGUAGCUAAGUUCGGAAUUGAUAAGCGCUGAAAGCAUCUAAGCGCGAAGCGAGCCCUGAGAUGAGUCUUCCCUGACAGUUUAACUGUCCUAAAGGGUUGUUCGAGACUAGAACGUUGAUAGGCAGGGUGUGUAAGCGUUGUGAGGCGUUGAGCUAACCUGUACUAAUUGCCCGUGAGGCUUAACCAU
This 1527-nucleotide ribosomal RNA is filed under the name Vibrio cholerae B33. Its description in RNAcentral is "bacterial LSU rRNA". It matches the Rfam family "Bacterial large subunit ribosomal RNA", at positions 1418 to 2925 of the family's 2925-position model. Lineage: Bacteria; Pseudomonadati; Pseudomonadota; Gammaproteobacteria; Vibrionales; Vibrionaceae. The record is from RNAcentral.